GUCGUAACCCAGUUUCCGUAGGUGAACCUGCGGAAGGAUCAUUA
Molecule: ribosomal RNA, 44 nt
Filed under: Aspergillus sp. OUCMBII072017
Lineage: Eukaryota; Fungi; Ascomycota; Eurotiomycetes; Eurotiales; Aspergillaceae
Description: partial 18S ribosomal RNA
Source: RNAcentral